Molecule: long non-coding RNA, 2266 nt
Filed under: Homo sapiens (human)
Lineage: Eukaryota; Metazoa; Chordata; Mammalia; Primates; Hominidae
Description: HSALNT0327986
Source: RNAcentral
AAAUAAUAUUUUUACUUGUUCCCCAAAGUCUUAAAGAAGAAAUGAGUCUAAAAUUUUUUAAAUGUAUUCAUAUUUCUCAUAACUAUACCACAAUGAUUUGUAUAGAUCAAAUUUGAAGAGCCAUUUCUUUUUUAAAAAUAAUCUUCUUGCUUAAUUUACAUGUUUUAUAAACACGAAGAGCUGCUUCACAUCUCAUUUAUUAAGAAAAUAAUCAUUGUUGAACAAAUAGUAAUGUGAGGCAAUAAAACUGAGCUUCCUCUAGUCUCUGUUAUUACACAGCUCUAAUAGUUUGCAAGCAUUAGUAUGAACACAGUGAGCAGAUAAUUACUUAAUAAUAGUAGAAGCAGAAAAGACAGGGUUCAAAAUAUAGACUUUUAUCAGUAAUAUAAUUUCUUUAUCAAUAUUAAUCAUUACCAUUUUGUCAUCAUUAUUAUUUUACAUGAACCUUCCUGAACUAGAGCAAAACAAAGAUCUCAUGUGAUCUCUCUUCACCUGACUCCCACCAUACCUGGAAAUGAAAAGAGAAAAAUAUAUAGCCUGGAUGAUAAUUGUCAAUUUUUAAUGAUAUUUACAAAUUUCAUGGCAUAUGGAACUUGGUGGGCAUGACGAAGCUUUGUUCAUCUCUGUACCUCCAGCUGCCAGCUCAAUGCCUAGCAUAUUGUGGACAUUCAAUAUAUAUCAACUUACUGAUGAUCAUUAGCAUAAAUAAAAUUUUUAAAUAUACAAUUUUUUCUUUGGUGAGAUCCGAUGUGUUCUAAUAAUAAAAGUGAGAAUCUUUCAAGUCAGCUAGAGUGAGUAAAUGUUGUUUUGCAUCAAAAAUAAAUAAAUAAUUAAAUUACAAGGCACAGGAAACCAAGUAAAAGUAUUGCUUGUGGUGCUGGUGGAAAGGAAAGGACUUCCAGACCAAGGUACAGUAUUUUGAUUACUGGAGAAGAGAGAAGAAACCUGUUAGUGCUUUGGCCAGUAUUGGGUCAAAUGAAAUGCCUGUGGCCCAGUGUGAAUCACCAGAGUAUCUUGCUAAAAUGCUGAUUCUAACUCAGUGGGUAUAGGGCAGGGCCCAGGAUCCCUUUAUUUCUGACCAGGUGAUGCUGAUGCUGCUGGAGUAGAAAGGAUCUAGAUUUCCUUUUCCAAACAUGUAUUUCCUUCUUCAUGGAAUUUGAAAGUGUGUCUGUAGACUAUUUCCUCUUUGUAAUUUUAUGGAGGGUUAGAAUCAUGCUAUAAAACAGGUUCUUACAACUGAAAUUCUGUGAAACUAAUUCUUGAAAGGAAGUGUCUUAGGUUUUUCUGGAAGUGUGAUACAUUCAUAAAAGGCACAUCACUACCCAGUGAGGUGGGACUCUGGCACAUUUCACUCCUUAGUGUGUGCCCAUCACUUUGUACUGGCUGCCUGGAGCACACAGUUAAGGAAGAUGCUGAGUCCAAGUCCAGACAUUCAGGAAGUGUGAUGUGAUUGGUUAGGGGCAUGUGCCUUGGGUGCAGAGAGAUAGUAGUACCCAUAACUUUUUCAUUAUUUUCUUGGUCAAAAUAAUCAAUAGGACAUUCUGGGAAAAGACUUAAUCAAAGUCAGUCAUUAAAAGGACUGUAAUUAGGUAAAUGCUGCAUAUGUGUACAACAGAUUAAGUAAAUAGAUUAUAUUAUUGGAAAUAUACCCCAUUUUAUAGCUAUUUGGCAUAUUAUCCAGUCAUGUCUCAAUGGUGUUUAGUGUAUUCUGCACUACUCUGAAAUUUAACCACCUGGAAGAAGUUAUGAAUAAGAAAAAAAAUUCUCUGUCAAUUAUUUCUAAAGGUCAUAGAGUUAAUGACUAGCUGGAAGGUUAAUUAGAUUCUGAAAACCUCUUCAUAUCAAUUAAAUCUCUUAUCUUUAUGUUUUAGUAAAUAAACUGAAUAACUAUUUAGAGCUACUGUUCUAGGGUAAGAAACGUUGUAAACAGUAAAACUACACAAUGGGUGUUUGGGUUUUUUCCUCACAUUAAAAAAAAAAAUAGUUAUAGCAGGCAUGGUGGCUCACACCUGUAAUCCCAGCACUUUGGGAGGCUGAGACAGGAGGAUUACUUGAGCCUAGGAGUUCAAGACCAGCCUGGGCAACAUACAGAGACUCCAACUCUACAAAAAUAAAAAUAAAUUAGCUGGAUGUGGUGGUGCAUACCUGUACUCCUAGCUACGCAGGAGACUGAGGUCAGAGAAUCACCUGAGCAUGAGAGGUUGAGGCUCCAGUGAGCUGUGAUCAUGCCACUGUACCCCAGCCUGAGUGACAGAGCAAGACUCUA